GCCCUGGCAUGGCUGAAGGGUGAUUGGCGAAAGUGUUCUCCUUUGGAGAAAAGACUUUUUGUGCUCGUGACGCAGUCAGGGACGGAUUAUUGAAUAUGCAAGUUAGAAGAAAAAUCACAGGACAAGCAAAUUGAGUAUUUACUGGCAAAUAAUUGCUCUCUUAAGCUGUGGCUCUCUUCCUAAAUUCUUAACAUUCCCGAGGGUUAGAAAGAAACACAGAAAAAUGCAUCGGUACAGAGUACAUUUCAAAAAAAAUACAUAGACUGAUGUUUCAGACUUGUGCAGAAUGUUUAACCAUCACUAACUGGAUACUUCUCACAACAUUGCUGUCUGGUAGGGGGAAGAACAGAAGAGUUCUGUCUCAGCCAGAAUUUGGAAGGAAGAGACUAACUCAUCAGAGAGAGCAGUGGCUGGCACUUUUCCUCCACGCUUUGAGACAAAGAGAAUUGGCUGGAAUAAAACCUUGCUUUCCAUAUGGUCGACUUGAAUGAAAUACAGCAUUGAAAAGGCAGACACCAGCUUUGUGAACCAACCCUUUGCAGUCAAUGAGCCUG
Molecule: long non-coding RNA, 554 nt
Filed under: Suricata suricatta (meerkat)
Lineage: Eukaryota; Metazoa; Chordata; Mammalia; Carnivora; Herpestidae
Description: lncRNA (ENSSSUG00005001437.1)
Source: RNAcentral